Molecule: long non-coding RNA, 788 nt
Organism: Pezoporus flaviventris
Lineage: Eukaryota; Metazoa; Chordata; Aves; Psittaciformes; Psittacidae
Exons: 4
Source: RefSeq, a predicted model, not a curated record
CAGCUUACCUAAUACACAAUUUGGUGUCUGUCUUGUGCUUCUGUAGCCCAGCCAGCAUGAAGAAUAUUCAGAGGGACUAACUGCUUCUAACUGUUGCUACUGGCCAUCAACACUUGCUAAGAUACCUGUGUUCUGCAAGGGGCAAUUAGCCAGGAGCAACAACAGAAGAGUGGUGAGCACAGUGAGGCAAAACAAAAGAUUUGGAAUUUCUGCUUCCUAGAAGAUGUCAGACUGUGAUGACUCUGAUGCUGAAAUGGACAGUAAAGCAGAAUGCCAUUCUCACGAUAGGGACACCAAAUGGCAUCCUGAGCCAGAGAGAUGUACAUCUCCUCAGCGCUUAGCAGGGUUCUGCUCUUCUUGGGAGAGUAUUUUCUAUAACUUCUAUUUAUCUAGAAAAGCAGUAUCGGAAAGCAAAAUCCAACCUAUCUAGCAGCACAGUCUACAACAGCUAUAAGGACUAUUUGCCAGCUGUAAGAGAAACUUUGGUUCCUGCCUGUUUCCAUAAUAAGAUGCAGCCAGUACAAGAAACUUGACUGGGCCAUUGUGUGCAUGAUACGACACUAUUCCUCUUCCUGAAGCCAAAAGAGAAAGACAAUUAAAGAACAUUAUUUUAGCACAUUGUUUCACCAUGAUUAGUGAAAUUUUCUCAGAAUAGCACAACUCUUAAAACCCUAUUCUGCCUUGUGUGUACACAAUUUACAGAAAAAAUAAGCACAAAAAAGUAAUUUAAUGUACCACAAGUGAUUUAGGACUGUACUAGUAAAUCACCUGAAACAUGGCGUUAUAAA